Molecule: transfer RNA, 72 nt
Filed under: Kamptonema sp. SIO4C4
Lineage: Bacteria; Bacillati; Cyanobacteriota; Cyanophyceae; Oscillatoriales; Microcoleaceae
Also listed under: 1 other name
Description: tRNA-Val
Rfam family: tRNA
About the family: Transfer RNA (tRNA) molecules are approximately 80 nucleotides in length. Their secondary structure includes four short double-helical elements and three loops (D, anti-codon, and T loops).
Source: RNAcentral
GGGCGAUUGGCACAGGGGUAGCGCGCUCCCUUCACACGGGAGAGGUCAUUGGUUCAAAUCCAAUAUCGCCCA